Molecule: transfer RNA, 66 nt
Filed under: Marmota monax (woodchuck)
Lineage: Eukaryota; Metazoa; Chordata; Mammalia; Rodentia; Sciuridae
Description: tRNA.Undet
Source: RNAcentral
GGAUUGUGGCUCAGUGGUAGAGCGGGCCCUCGCAUGGGCAGGACCCGGGUUCGAUCCUCAGCACCA